RNAcentral lists this transfer RNA (73 nucleotides) under Camelus bactrianus (Bactrian camel). It matches the Rfam family "tRNA". From Rfam's summary of the family: Transfer RNA (tRNA) molecules are approximately 80 nucleotides in length. Their secondary structure includes four short double-helical elements and three loops (D, anti-codon, and T loops). Further hydrogen bonds mediate the characteristic L-shaped molecular structure. tRNAs have two regions of fundamental functional importance: the anti-codon, which is responsible for specific mRNA codon recognition, and the 3' end, to which the tRNAs corresponding amino acid is attached (by aminoacyl-tRNA synthetases). tRNAs cope with the degeneracy of the genetic code in two manners: having more than one tRNA (with a specific anti-codon) for a particular amino acid; and 'wobble' base-pairing, i.e. permitting non-standard base-pairing at the 3rd anti-codon position. The record is from Rfam by way of RNAcentral. RNAcentral also lists the same sequence under 2 other names. Lineage: Eukaryota; Metazoa; Chordata; Mammalia; Artiodactyla; Camelidae.
GAGGGUAUAGCUCAAGGGGUAGAGCAUAUGCUUAGUAUGCAUAAGGUCCUGGGUUCAAUCCCCAGUGCCUUCU